Molecule: ribosomal RNA, 482 nt
Filed under: uncultured bacterium
Lineage: Bacteria
Description: partial 16S ribosomal RNA
Rfam family: Bacterial small subunit ribosomal RNA
Source: RNAcentral
AUUGAACGCUGGCGGCAUGCCUUACACAUGCAAGUCGAACGGUAACAGGUCUUCGGAUGCUGACGAGUGGCGAACGGGUGAGUAAUACAUCGGAACGUGCCCGAUCGUGGGGGAUAACGGAGCGAAAGCUUUGCUAAUACCGCAUACGAUCUACGGAUGAAAGCAGGGGACCGCAAGGCCUUGCGCGGACGGAGCGGCCGAUGGCAGAUUAGGUAGUUGGUGGGAUAAAAGCUUACCAAGCCGACGAUCUGUAGCUGGUCUGAGAGGACGACCAGCCACACUGGGACUGAGACACGGCCCAGACUCCUACGGGAGGCAGCAGUGGGGAAUUUUGGACAAAGGGCGAAAGCCUGAUCCAGCCAUGCCGCGUGCUGGAUGAAGGCCUUCGGGUUGUAAACUGCUUUUGUACGGAACGAAAAGACUCUUUCUAAUAAAGAGGGUCCAUGACGGUACCGUAAGAAUAAGCACCGGCUAACUACGUG